AUGGAGAUUUGUCUCGGUUACCAUUGCGACAAAGGAGCCACGAAAUUGCAGAGAAAAAUCAGAGGAAAGUUCAUAUUUGUAGGUUUGGAUAGUUUUUUUUACAUGUCUCUGCAAAUUGGCAGUAGCUGCAAUGGCAGGUUUGACAAUUUUGGACAGCAACAUAGUAACAGGGCAGCAGGACUAUUUUUGGACAGAGAGGGAACAACUGCAGUCAUUUGGAACUUUGGAGGAUAUCAUAGAUUGAUUCAAAGCUUGACUUCAAAGAAAACUCUAGCAAUAUGUGUAGAUUCAGUGACGUUUGGAAUUCUUUUGUAA
This is a non-coding RNA of Vicia faba (fava bean), 315 nucleotides long. NCBI's taxonomy places the organism in Eukaryota, Viridiplantae, Streptophyta, Magnoliopsida, Fabales, Fabaceae. The record is from the annotation of a GenBank genome assembly.